AUUUAUUUGAUCCCACUGAAAAAUUUAAAUAUUAAAAUAUCUUGCACAGUCUACCAAAUGAGUUAAAUCGUUACAGUCGUGUCUACCUCUUAUUUUUCUAUCUGUAUUUAGGCUGCUGUUUUGGUGAGAUUCUAAUUUCUUUUUCCCCUGGAACUACUUUCUGUGGAAGACAAGGAACAGACUGUGGACAGAGGCCUGAAAACAAAUUGGAAGCACUCAGAGAUCUAUUGCUGACCAGCCCUAUUCCUCAUGAGUUGGCGGGGGGAAAGCCAUUGUUUUUAAUUUCCACUUAAUAUGAAAAUGCUUGUUUUUAAAAUGUUUUUUCCUGCUGAACAAAUGUAUUUUUAAAAGGAAAAAAAAAUUCUCUUUUGGCUCUAAGAAGUCAGCUGUAUGAGCAGGCGUGACCAUAUCAUAACAUGCUGAUAUGAUAGAAAUCAAUAAAUUUUUACCUCUCAGGAUCUGGGUAACCUUGUUCUUAACUCUUAGAGGCUUGAGAAACAUAAACCAAGUCUCAACAGUUCAGAUCACAUAGAAACAGACAGACAUAUGGAACGUGGGAGGAGGGUUGGCUAACCGCUGGAAAUGAGAUGGGCCCCUUUCAUGAUCAGAAAAGCACUCUCUAGUAGGUACAAAGGAAGAAACUGGAACAAUGUUUUCUACUAGUGAGCAGGGAGCAUAUCACAGAGCUCAUUUCUGAGUUCUCCCCUGGAAAGAUUUUAGUGCCCCACUUUGGAAUACUUUUUGCCUUUUGGGUGUGGGAGCACUAGAGAUGGAGAUGGUAAAGUUCUCACUGUUGACUUACCGAGGCAAGAGAACACUCAGCCAUUCUUUGAUUGUAGCAGCUGUCUGUGUGGUGUCAUUGAAAAAACCUGGCACUGGGAUACUUCCCUUAAAAUAUCAGUGGUUGCAUCUUUAUUUCCUUGUUGCAUUUUUGAUGGGAAAAUCUCCCUGAAAGGGGUCUUACCUUCAGUUUCUUACCAGUGCACACUAUCAGGACCAGCUGAUGGACAGUUGAGGGAAAAGCAAAUAGGUACCUAGAAGUGGAGAGAUCAGAAGAGCUUGGAGUGCUAGGAAGAGGAAGCCAGGAGUGCUGGAAGACAAAAGGAAGACCAGAGCCUGCUGUCCACAAACAGUGUGGAACUAGAGUAGGUAAUAAAUUCUAGGCCACGAUGGCCACUAGUGCCCAAAUAUCCCUCUGUCAUGGCGCCAUCAAGUGUUAAGGGCUUGUCCAAGUAGGAGCCCAGGAGCAGCAGAACCGGGGACUUCAAUUCGACCUUGGCCCUUUGUUGCAGAAGUCUCAGAAGUUUAUAUCUUGAGAAUUGACACUUUACCUUCCAGUGGCCUUGGAGAGGAAGGACAGCAGGGUUACCUCACCAGCCCAGCUCCAGCUCCCCUUCACCCCCCGCCCAGGUACCUGUCUGACUGCAGCAGGAGAUUCUAGCACAGAGGGUGCCAGCAAGCAGGAGUGCUCAGAGGGUUUCUCAUUUGAAAGGUAUUUACUGUUAGGGGAGAGUGGGAGGAGAGGAGGGGCAGGCAUGGGUGGGCAGAGCAUAGGUACUAGGAAUCUGCAAACCACAGACAAGAAGCAAGUGAAAGUAAAGAUCUGAGGGUUUGCUGUAAGCUGCAUUAGCAGGAGGAGCACUGGGCCUGUGGGAGUGGACACAUGUGUCUCCUUCCAGGGGCUCCUGCCACAGCCUCAGCCCCAGACAUCUCAAGGCUCAGUGUGUGUGUCUGUCUGCCAGUGCACCCCAGGGGGGCCUCAUGGUGAGGCUUCCUCUGCCUGGGUUGCUCCUGGCAUGGCCUCCAGCUUUUC
RNAcentral lists this long non-coding RNA (1813 nucleotides) under Pan troglodytes (chimpanzee). RNAcentral describes it as "long non-coding RNA NONPTRT001433". Lineage: Eukaryota; Metazoa; Chordata; Mammalia; Primates; Hominidae. The record is from RNAcentral.